UUACAGCCAUAUCACAUUGAAACCCCAGUACUCAUAUGAUAACUGAAGUUAAGCAAUGUUGAGCCUGGUCAGUACCUAGAUGGGUGACAGCUUGGUAAUACCAGGUGCUGCAAG
Acanthosepion pharaonis is the source of this 114-nucleotide non-coding RNA. Lineage: Eukaryota; Metazoa; Mollusca; Cephalopoda; Sepiida; Sepiidae. The record is from the annotation of a GenBank genome assembly.